AAAAAGAAAAACACUUAGCUUGUAACUCCACGUCAGUGUGCCUCUUAGCUGUUGCUUGCCUCUUUGUGUUUGAACCUUUUCCAAUCAAACCAGAAAAAUUCAUGCCUAUUUAACGUAACAUACCUUCCAUCUUCCACUCUCCUUUUCCAGUUUAGAAAUCGCACAGAAUUCCAAGUCACGUAACUGUUAUCUCCUGAUCAUCACUAUCUCCAAGUUGAAAUUUUUAGAUUCAUCAAGCACUUGUCUAAUCUGUUUGGUUGAUAGGAAAACAUCGCCAAAGAAAGGAGAUGGGUUUUGCAAAGAAAGAAUAUGAAUUUUUUAGUGAGAUCGGAUUGAGUGAGCGCAACCUGGGAUGUUUUGUCAAUGGCACGUGGAAAGCACGUGGCCCUGUGGUUACCACUUUGAAUCCUGCAAACAACCAGACAAUAGCUGAAGUUGUGGAGGGUUCCAUUGAAGAUUAUGAAGAAGGCAUGCAGGCUUGCAGUGAAGCAGCUAAGAUAUGGAUGCAGGUUCCUGCACCAAAGAGAGGUGAGAUUGUCAGACAGAUUGGGGAUGCACUGAGGGCAAAACUUCAGCAACUUGGUCGCCUUGUCUCACUUGAGAUGGGGAAAAUACUUCCUGAAGGCAUAGGAGAAGUUCAAGAAAUCAUUGAUAUGUGCAACUUUGCUGUUGGAUUAAGCCGGCAACUGAAUGGAUCAAUAAUACCAUCAGAGCGUCCUAAUCAUGCCAUGUUGGAGAUGUGGAAUCCUCUCGGGAUAGUUGGUGUGAUUACAGCUUUCAACUUCCCAUGUGCUGUUCUAGGAUGGAAUGCAUGCAUUGCACUGGUCUGCGGCAAUUGUGUUGUUUGGAAAGGUGCACCAACAACUCCUUUGAUAACUAUAGCAAUGACUAAGCUGGUAGCUGGAGUGCUAGAAAAGAACAGCUUACCUCCUGCAAUUUUUACAUCCUUUUGUGGUGGUGCUGACAUUGGUCAAGCAAUAGCAAAAGACACACGCAUUCCUCUGGUUUCAUUUACUGGGAGUUCAAAGGUUGGCUUGAUGGUGCAACAAACAGUGAAUCAGAGAUUCGGUAAAUGCUUGCUUGAACUAAGUGGAAACAAUGCUAUAAUAGUAAUGGAUGAUGCAGAUAUUCAGUUAGCUGUUCGUUCCAUUUUGUUUGCUGCUGUUGGGACAGCUGGUCAGCGGUGCACAACAUGUCGUAGGCUGCUUCUUCACGAGAGCAUAUAUGACAGAGUAAUUGAUCAACUACUUAGUGUAUACAAACAAGUUAAAGUUGGGGAUCCGUUGGAAAAAGGUACCUUGCUUGGGCCAUUGCAUACUUCUGAAUCAAGAAAGAAUUUUGAAAAGGGAAUAGAGACCAUUAAGUCCCAGGGAGGGAAGAUCCUAACAGGCGGUUCUGUUAUAGAAUCCGAAGGCAAUUAUGUGCAGCCUACAAUUGUUGAGAUUUCGCCAAAGGCAGAUGUCGUUAAGGAGGAGUUAUUUGCUCCUGUUCUUUAUGUUAUGAAAUUUCAGACUUUACAAGACGCGAUUGAAAUAAACAAUUCAGUGCCUCAAGGACUAAGCAGUUCGAUCUUCACCCGCAAACCUGAAGUUAUCUUCAAAUGGAUCGGGCCACAAGGAAGUGACUGUGGCAUUGUGAAUGUAAAUAUACCAACAAAUGGUGCUGAAAUUGGUGGUGCUUUCGGCGGCGAAAAAGCUACAGGAGGUGGCCGUGAAGCAGGAAGUGAUUCUUGGAAACAGUACAUGCGACGAUCGACUUGGUAAAUUUGAUCAAACACUCCAAUGGCUUCAUUUGCCUUAUCAUCUCAAUUUGCAUGGCUUGUACUAUAAAUUACGGGAAUGAAUUACCACUAGCACAAGGCAUCAACUUCGGCUCAUAGAAACACAUUAAGAAGCAUUCUGGGAGGUUGAGAGCAAAGCUUUGGGCUCAGAGCUUUUGUGAUUACAACUAGAUUUUAGCUAGAGAAAGAGUCUCUUGACAAAUUAUAUUGAUAAUAAUAGUUCACUGCUUCAUCCAAA
Molecule: RNA transcript, 2018 nt
Organism: Manihot esculenta (cassava)
Lineage: Eukaryota; Viridiplantae; Streptophyta; Magnoliopsida; Malpighiales; Euphorbiaceae
Gene name: aldehyde dehydrogenase family 7 member B4
Exons: 16
Source: RefSeq, a predicted model, not a curated record